GACGAACGCUGGCGGCGUGCCUAAUACAUGCAAGUUGAGCGCUGAAGGUUGGUACUUGUACCAACUGGAUGAGCAGCGAACGGGUGAGUAACGCGUGGGGAAUCUGCCUUUGAGCGGGGGACAACAUUUGGAAACGAAUGCUAAUACCGCAUAAAAACUUUAAACACAAGUUUUAAGUUUGAAAGAUGCAAUUGCAUCACUCAAAGAUGAUCCCGCGUUGUAUUAGCUAGUUGGUGAGGUAAAGGCUCACCAAGGCGAUGAUACAUAGCCGACCUGAGAGGGUGAUCGGCCACAUUGGGACUGAGACACGGCCCAAACUCCUACGGGAGGCAGCAGUAGGGAAUCUUCGGCAAUGGACGAAAGUCUAACCGAGCAACGCCGCGUGAGUGAAGAAGGUUUUCGGACCGUAAAACUCUGUUGGUAGAGAAGAACGUUGGUGAGAGUGGAAAGCUCAUCAAGUGACGGUAACUACCCAGAAAGGGACGGCUAACUACGUG
RNAcentral lists this ribosomal RNA (497 nucleotides) under uncultured bacterium. RNAcentral's name for it is "partial 16S ribosomal RNA". It matches the Rfam family "Bacterial small subunit ribosomal RNA", at positions 28 to 507 of the family's 1533-position model. The record is from RNAcentral.